Molecule: long non-coding RNA, 903 nt
Filed under: Vigna radiata
Lineage: Eukaryota; Viridiplantae; Streptophyta; Magnoliopsida; Fabales; Fabaceae
Description: long non-coding RNA (VRAD_LNC015262)
Source: RNAcentral
GACGAAAACGGACUUGUAAAUGGAAUUGAAAACAAAAUUGAAAACGAAAUUAAAAAAAAAUUGAACAAAACGCAAACUGGAAUAGAAAGGGGCAAAAAAAAUGCAAGAACAUAAAAUGUAAAUUGAAGCAAGAGUAUAAAACGAAAAUGGGAUUGGAAUUAAAGUCAAGAUUCAAUAGAUAAAAAAGGGAAAGGAAAUAAAGAACCUAAAACUCCCAAAAGGGGAGGAAGAAGAAAAAUACUUCAAUCGCCAAACCCUAGAAGAAAACGUAAAAUGAAGGAGGGGAAGUGAAAUUUGAUUUGGGGUUUAUAGACCCCAAAUUACGAUGAUGCCCUUCUAAUGGGCUUUUACAAAAUAUUGACCAAAAAUAGGCCCAAAAGUCAAAUUUGUCCAAAACUGACAUAAUUGAAAUUACAAAACGAAAUUAAAUUCAAUUGUUGACAUGGCCACACUCUUUUUGUCCCAAAAUAUGAUUCCAAAAUUUUCCUACAAAUAAUAAUUGGAAUAAUUAGGACCAAAUAAAUCAAAUUAAUUAAAAUAAGAAUUAUUAGUUCUAUUGAGCCCAAAUAAUGAAAAUGAGACAAUAAUGAAGAAUUAAACAUAAUUCACAAAUACAAUAUGGUGCGAAAAGCUUAUUGAAUAGUACAAAAUAGUGAUUCAUCAAUAUCACAACUUAAACCGUGCAUCCAAACUAAUAGUGCAUAUGAACUUUUCACCCCACUCCACUUCCUUACCGCUUAACAUCACAAAACUUCUUUGCUUUGACCACUUAUUCCAAUCCCCACCAUCACUACCUCUCUCUCCCCCAACUGACCACCACAUCCAACUUUCCUAAUUCUACAUCGGUAAACGUCAAGAAUAUCGCUACCCCCAUUCCCAAAAAUGUCAACUUGAAAAACAAGU